GAGACUGGGGUGGAGACUUCGGAGACUGCAGUUGCAGUUGUUCCGUGUAGGCUGUUGUUGACUCUCGUAUGAAAGCCCACGCGAUCCAAGUGCCCUGCAGGUUUUGGUCCAGGGAAAAGUUGCUCUCUGCAGAUGACUGUAAAUGACUACCUGGAGGUCGAUUAAAGUGCGGUACUGCGGGAUUCAGCCGAUUUCCUUCUUCCUCUGACUGCCCGGAAAUAUCAGCCAAAGGCCGGCGGUAGUAAUUAACACAAUUACCUGCCUAUGAUUUCUGUCCUAUUUAAGAUGGGUUCUAUUAUGUUUUUAUCUAUAGUUGUCUUCAUUAACUUUUCGUGAUAUCAUAAGCCCCCCGAAUCCCUCGAAAGUAGAUGGGAUUCUGAGCACACGCACACACAAAUUCAGAUCCCCAAAGGAUAGUAAAAUGAAUUAUUGGCUUAAUAUAUCAUCUUAGCUAACCAAAAGCCUGUGUCAGCUGCCAUAUUGAAAAUCUGUUUACCAGCUGCAGGGAGCUUACAAUCUGGUAAGGCAAAUAAAUCAUACGCAUAAAAAGUACAAUAAGAGAGUGUAAAGAUAUGUAAGUAAUACUAAUACCCAUAUCAGCAAUGAUCAUAACUCACUUCUCCAUUUUUAACUAAGAAUCAUAUAACCUUUCCUUCUUGUCGUUUUAAACUGAUUUUUAUAACUUUGAUACAUUACGUUUCUGUUUCCAAAACACUUCUGUGUACGUUAUUGCACAUGU
This 739-nucleotide small RNA is filed under the name Pongo abelii (Sumatran orangutan). RNAcentral's name for it is "retained intron". The record is from RNAcentral. Lineage: Eukaryota; Metazoa; Chordata; Mammalia; Primates; Hominidae.